RNAcentral lists this small RNA (124 nucleotides) under Marmota monax (woodchuck). Lineage: Eukaryota; Metazoa; Chordata; Mammalia; Rodentia; Sciuridae. The record is from RNAcentral.
GCCAGGCACAGUGGAGCAUGCCUGUAAUCCCAGCAGCUCAGGAGGCUGAGGCAGGAGAAUCAUGAGUUCAAAGCCAGCCUCAGCAACAGUGAGUGCUAAGAAACUCAGUGAGACCCUGUAUCUA